This 611-nucleotide ribosomal RNA is filed under the name Bacillus sp. UM14. RNAcentral describes it as "bacterial SSU rRNA". It matches the Rfam family "Bacterial small subunit ribosomal RNA", at positions 282 to 885 of the family's 1533-position model. Lineage: Bacteria; Bacillati; Bacillota; Bacilli; Caryophanales; Bacillaceae. The record is from RNAcentral.
CGUAGCCGACCUGAGAGGUGAUCGGCCACACUGGGACUGAGACACGGCCCAGACUCCUACGGGAGGCAGCAGUAGGGAAUCUUCCGCAAUGGACGAAAGUCUGACGGAGCAACGCCGCGUGAGUGAAGAAGGUUUUCGGAUCGUAAAACUCUGUUGUCAGGGAAGAACAAGUACGGGAGUAACUGACCGUACCUUGACGGUACCUGGCCAGAAAGCCACGGCUAACUACGUGCCAGCAGCCGCGGUAAUACGUAGGUGGCAAGCGUUGUCCGGAAUUAUUGGGCGUAAAGCGCGCGCAGGCGGCCUUUUAAGUCUGAUGUGAAAGCCCCCGGCUCAACCGGGGAGGGUCAUUGGAAACUGGAAGGCUUGAGUGCAGAAGAGAAGAGCGGAAUUCCACGUGUAGCGGUGAAAUGCGUAGAGAUGUGGAGGAACACCAGUGGCGAAGGCGGCUCUUUGGUCUGUAACUGACGCUGAGGCGCGAAAGCGUGGGGAGCGAACAGGAUUAGAUACCCUGGUAGUCCACGCCGUAAACGAUGAGUGCUAAGUGUUGGGGGGUUUCCGCCCCUCAGUGCUGCAGCUAACGCAUUAAGCACUCCGCCUGGGGAGUACGG